RNAcentral lists this long non-coding RNA (1877 nucleotides) under Homo sapiens (human). RNAcentral describes it as "HSALNT0166735". Lineage: Eukaryota; Metazoa; Chordata; Mammalia; Primates; Hominidae. The record is from RNAcentral.
GUAGGCCAGACUGGUCUCAAACUCCUGACCUCAAGGGAUCCUCCCGCCUCACCCUCCUAAAGUGCUGAUAUUACAGGUGUGAGCCACUGCGCCAGGCCAGAAGUAUACUUUAUAAGGCUCUUAUACUAUACAUGAAAACGUAUCUCAUUUUAAGAAAAACUGUGAUAGGUAAAAGAUAUAUACUAUAAAACCUAAAGCAACUUUUAAAAUAAAAAAAUAGCAAAUAAGCAAAUAAAAUACCUUGGAAUCAUAACAAAUAUUUAUUUAAUGCAAAAAAAAGGGCAAGGGAAAAAAGUGAAAAUAAGAGACAGAUGAGGAAAAAAGAAAUGCAAAUAGCAAGAUAACAGAUUUAAACUUAACCGUAUCACUAAUCACCUUCAAUAUAAAUAGUUUCAACUAGGGGUCAGUGAACUGUAGCUCGAAACCAAAUCAUGGCUGUUUCCUGGUUUGUUUGCUUGUUUGCUUGUUUUUUGAGACAGAGUCUCACUCUGUUGCCCAGGUUGGAAUGCAGUAGCAUGAAUAUGGCUCACUGUAGCCUCGAUCUCCCAGGCCCAAGUGAUCCUCCCACUUCAGCUUCCCAGGUACAAUUUUUUUUUGUAUUUUUUUGUAGAGUCUGAUCUCAAACUCCUGGGUUCAAGUGAUUCUCCUGCUUUGGCCUCACCAAAUUACUGGGAUUACAGUCAUGAGCCACCAUACCCCGCCAUCUGUUGCCUGUUUUUGCGGUGCUCAUGAACUAAAAGCAGUUUUUACAUUUUUUAAUGGUAAAUUUUUUUCUAUAACUGACUAUAUAAUUGCUUCAAUUUUGCCUCUUGUCCCACAAAGCCUAAAAUAUUUACUCAAUAUUUUGAGUAAGAUAUUUACUCAAUAUUUUGAGUAAGAUAUUUACUCAAUAUUUUGAGUAAGAUAUUUACUCAAUAUUUUGAGUAAGAUAUUUACUCAAUAUUUUGAGUAAGAUAUUUACUCAAUAUUUUGAGUAAGAUAUUUACUCAAAGGGUGAGCCUUUGAGUUUGCCCACCUGUGUGGUAUAAAUAUCCCAAUUAUAAGGCAGAAAGUAUAGCAUUGGAUGGACAUUUGGGUAGUUUCCACUUUAUGGCCAUUAUAAAUAAUGAAGCUGUUAACACUCAUGUUCAAGUUUUUUUGUGAACAUAUAAUAUGUUCUCAAUUCUUUCGGAUAUAUGCAUAAGGAACAGAACUCCUGAAUCAUGUGGCACCUCUAUGUUUAACCUUUUGAGGAAUGGCCAGACUAUUUUCUUUUCUUUUCUUUUCUUUUUUUCUAAGAUAGGGUCUUGAUCUGUCACCUAGGCAGGAGUGCAGUGGUGUGAUUUCGAUUCACAGCAAUCCCCACCUCUCUUGCUCAAGCAAUCCUCCCACCUCAGCCUCCCGAGUACCUGGAACUACUGGAACUACAGGUGCAUGCCACCAUGCCUGGCCAAUUUUUUUUUUUUUUUUGGUAGGGAUAGGGUUUCACCAUGUUGCCCAAGCUGGUCUUGAACUCCUGGCCUCAAGCGAUCCACCUGCCUCGGCCUUGCAAAGUGCUAGGGUUACAGGCGUGAACCACCACGCCUGGACAGACUAUUUUCUAAAGUGGCUGCUCCGUUUUACUUACCUACCACUUGUGCAUGAAGUUUCCAAUUUCUCCACACUCUCACCAACACUUAUUAUCUAUUUUUAUUAUAGCCAUCCUAGGAAGUGUGAACUGGUAUCUCAAUAUGGGUUUGAUUUGCAUUUUUCUGAUGGCCAAAGGAGUUGAGAUUUUCAUUUUUUUAUCGGCCAUUUGUAUAUUUUCUUUGGAGAAAUGUAUACUCAGAUCCUUUGCCCAUUUAAAAAUUGGAUUAUUGGGCCGGGUGCAGUGGCUCACCCACUUGUUUGUUUUUUUU